Long non-coding RNA from Pogona vitticeps (central bearded dragon), 553 nucleotides. RefSeq lists it as uncharacterized. The record is from RefSeq and is a predicted model, not a curated record. Lineage: Eukaryota; Metazoa; Chordata; Lepidosauria; Squamata; Agamidae.
GAGCAUGGACUGAAAUGCCAGCAACAAAUCCAGAGGAUGCCCCCAGGAACCAUAAGGAGUUGCUUGAGGUCCUUAUUAACUCUGCAGCAAGAGAGGCAGGCUGCCUUACCUCUUCAGACAUAUCUAUUUAUACACCAUGACACUGAGCACUCUUUUCUAGCUCCUGGUGAGCAGUCACCAGGAAGAAAUCCUGAACACUGGAGCCAUUUGGUUGGAUCUAAGAUGAUUCUGUUCAUGUGGGAGAAGCAGAUGUGUAAGACACAGAUUCAUGUACAGAACUGUACUUCCAAUGGAUGGAAGUGUCUGGUGGUGGAAACAGACAGCUUUUCUUUUCCUUUUUAAAAAACAUAUCCUCAGGACGGAGAGUGUGCAGUUGUCUAGAGACCUUUGCUUAUUGGAAUGCAUCCACUGCCAACUUGGGACUUCCUGGUGACAGAAGAUAUGUGUAAUCUUCUUUGCCUUCUUGUCUUUUUUCUCCUGCAUCCAUGAUCUACCAUUACAGUCAAUAACAUCUGUAUUAUUCUUUCAUACUUGUUGUUUUGUUUCUUCUUAA